This 505-nucleotide ribosomal RNA is filed under the name uncultured bacterium. Its description in RNAcentral is "bacterial SSU rRNA". It matches the Rfam family "Bacterial small subunit ribosomal RNA", at positions 772 to 1275 of the family's 1533-position model. The record is from RNAcentral.
ACUAAAUAGAUACCCGGGUAGUCCACGCCGUAGACGUUGGGCGCUAGGUGUGGGGGCCAUUCCACGGUCUCCGUGCCGCAGCUAAACGCAUUAAGCGCCCCGCCUGGGGAGUACGGCCGCAAGGCUAAAACUCAAAGGAAUUGACGGGGGCCCGCACAAGCGGCGGAGCAUGUUGCUUAAAUUCGAUGCAACGCGAAGAACCUUACCUAGGCUUGACAUGCACGGAAAUCUCGCAGAGAUGCGGGGUCCGUAAGGGCCGUGCACAGGUGGUGCAUGGUUGUCGUCAGCUCGUGUCGUGAGAUGUUGGGUUAAGUCCCGCAACGAGCGCAACCCUCGUUCCAUGUUGCCAGCACGUAAUGGUGGGGACUCAUGGGAGACUGCCGGGGUCAACUCGGAGGAAGGUGGGGAUGACGUCAAAUCAUCAUGCCCCUUAUGUCUAGGGCUGCAAACAUGCUACAAUGGCCGGUUACAAAGGGCUGCGAUACCGUGAGGUGGAGCGAAUCCC